UGCAGUCGAACGCGAAAGUGGAGCAAUCCAUGAGUAGAGUGGCAAACGGGUGAGUAACGCGUGGGCGACCUGCCUUCGAGUGGGGGAUAACAUUCCGAAAGGGAUGCUAAUACCGCAUAACAUCCUUCGUUUAGAUACGAGGUGAUCAAAGCCGGGAGCAAUUCUGGCGCUUAAAGAGGGGCCCGCGUCCGAUUAGCUAGUUGGUGGGGUAACGGCCUACCAAGGCUUCGAUCGGUAUCCGGCCUGAGAGGGCGGACGGACACACUGGAACUGAGACACGGUCCAGACUCCUACGGGAGGCAGCAGUGGGGAAUUGUUCGCAAUGGGCGAAAGCCUGACGACGCAACGCCGCGUGGAGGAUGAAGACCUUCGGGUCGUAAACUCCUUUCGACCGAGAAGAAUGGCUCCCGACCUCAUACGUCGGGAGCAUGACGGUAUCGAGGGAAGAAGCCCCGGCUAACUCUGUGCCAGCAGCCGCGGUAAUACAGGGGGGGCAAGCGUUGUUCGGAAUUACUGGGCGUAAAGGGUUCGUAGGUGGCCAACUAAGUCAGACGUGAAAUCCCUCAGCUUAACUGGGGAACUGCGUCUGAUACUGGAUGGCUUGAGUGUAGGAGAGGAAUGCGGAAUUCCAGGUGUAGCGGUGAAAUGCAUAGAUAUCUGGAGGAACACCGGUGGCGAAGGCGGCAUUCUGGACUACAACUGACACUGAGGAACGAAAGCCAGGGGAGCAAACGGGAUUAGAUACCCCGGUAGUCCUGGCCCUAAACGAUGA
This 772-nucleotide ribosomal RNA is filed under the name uncultured Acidobacteriaceae bacterium. Its description in RNAcentral is "bacterial SSU rRNA". It matches the Rfam family "Bacterial small subunit ribosomal RNA", at positions 56 to 812 of the family's 1533-position model. Lineage: Bacteria; Pseudomonadati; Acidobacteriota; Terriglobia; Terriglobales; Acidobacteriaceae. The record is from RNAcentral.